UGCCCUCCUGGCAAUGGGCAAAGAGACAGCUUAUUGGUGGUGGUCUUAUAUCAGUCAGGGGCAGAGCAGAAGGCAGUCCUUUGUUCAUCCUAGCUUGAUGCCUGGCUUGGUGGCCAAAACUGUUUUAUGCCUAGGACACAUAA
Small nucleolar RNA from Psammomys obesus (fat sand rat), 143 nucleotides. RefSeq annotates it as small nucleolar RNA SNORA48. The transcript has a single exon. The record is from RefSeq and is a predicted model, not a curated record. Lineage: Eukaryota; Metazoa; Chordata; Mammalia; Rodentia; Muridae.